CUUCUCCUUCAUGACAACAGAACCCACAACAACCAUGACUCUGAUCACCCUCUUCAUCUGGACUCUAGCUGUCUACAUACAGGAGUCCAGAGGACAGAUCACUGUCACUCAGACUCCUGCAGUGAAAGCUGUUCUCCCAGGACAGUCCGUCUCUCUGCAGUGUAAAACCAGCAGUGAUGUGCAUGGAAAUUGUUACAAUGGUCAAUCAUGGGGUCACCAGUGUCUAGCGUGGUACCUCCAGAAACCUGGAGAACAACCCAGUCUCCUGAUCCGCACUGUUAAAACGCUGCACACUGGGACUGCAUCUAGAUUCAGUGGCAGUGGAUCUGGGAGUGACUUCACUCUGACCAUCAGUGAAGUCCAGGCUGAAGAUGCAGGAGAUUACUACUGUCAGAGUUUACACUACCCGAACAGUGUGUACGUGUUCACACAGUGAUACAGAGCCGUGCAAAAACCUCCCCUCGUCAGAUUGCACAGUGACUGCAUUGCUACAGCUGGGACCUACUGCAGGUGCUGAAAGGGAAGAGACAGUCACAUGGAACACUGACUGGCCUUGGUUACACUGAGCUAAAUAUGUCAGUGAUGUUCAUAUGUCAACUAACCCACCCUCAUGUCAAAGCAGUCCUGAAAACCUUUUAGCUCAUAAUGUUUAAAUAUGAAAUGACUCAAGAACAAAACAUCAUCUUUAUAUAUUUGUUUAAAACAUGUCUUCACUGGCUCAUUCAUUCAGACUUACUAGUGUUCAUCAGGCUGAUCAACAUUCCUGGCACUGAAAAAGU
Non-coding RNA from Hypomesus transpacificus, 779 nucleotides. The record is from the annotation of a RefSeq genome assembly. NCBI's taxonomy places the organism in Eukaryota, Metazoa, Chordata, Actinopteri, Osmeriformes, Osmeridae.